CCGGCAGGGGCGCCCCCCAGAGGGGCCCCAUGGGGCCAGGGAUCCGCGCCGCCGCCGGGAUGCUGCUGCUUCUUCUUCAUCGCCUGCUCCGCCGCCUCGCACAGCCUGCCCGUGCCAGGAAAAGAAACUUGAUUCUCCUUCUCUAUCCCAAGCUGCUUCCAAAAGGCCGAUAAAAGGUACUUGGAUAUAGGUUUCAAGAGUUUGCUGAGAUGGUCUAAGAGCAAGCGGUGUACGUGAUAAUUAAACCAACCGCUCCUCGCCCCGUCUCCCUGGAAGAGAAACAGAAGAGGAUGCUUUCUUCUUGCUGGCCCUGGCCGUCCAGCUACGCAUCCACGUAGCGACCGGAGAGGCAGGGGGUGGGAGAGGUCCAGAGCGGACUCAAGGAGGUCAUUCUGCUAGCAGAAAUGAAGGGGAAAGAGCCCUUUCAUACCCAUUUCAUCCCUGCCUCCCUUCUUUCCAAGAGAAUCUUCUGGACCUAAAAGAGGACCUCCGGGCAGAAAGGCUGCAUCGAACAGAUCCGCUGGCGGGAUGGGUGAUGCGCGAAAGAGCUGCUCGCACCAGCACACUCUCAGGAAGAAUAAUUCAUUGGUGUAUACACAGGCUGUACCACCUGAGGCUCAAGUGACUUGCCCAAGGUCACGGAGCUACCAGGAGUCGGGUUAGGAGCCACUCAAAUCUCUUUGACCCUGAAGCCCACUAUACAAACCACUGCACGGUAUUAUCACCCAGCCCGGGCCCUUUCCCUCAUAAUUUUCAUGAAGAUUGGAGAAUGAGUUAUAACUUAUUUUUAGCCCAGGCCACCUUGAGGAAGGAAACCUCAAUUUCUGGUGCCUCUCGUCUCUGGCUCCCUACUUGCUCUGUACGUUCUGGUAGCUGACAACAGGAUGAAAGGAAGAAUGGGGAGUCAGCUACAGCUAUGUUUCUGUGACUGUACUCCUGAAAACCUUCAUAAAGUUGGGUGUCUGAAGAAUUUUCUACGGAAAACUAGGAAAUAGGUUCCUGAGAUUAAGAACUUACAAUGUAAGAAUAAUAUGGUUUAGCUAAAAUCCAUGCAUGAGCAUCUCUGGUUUCUGAUUUGAAACCAAUGAAGAAGACACAUCGAUCCUAAGCUGGGGAGAAUUAUAGAUGGGGUGGGUGGUGUCACACAUCCACACACACACACUCACACGUGCAUGCUCACAAAUUCUACUUCCCAAUUUUAUGUUGCCCUAGCCUGCCUUCUCUGGUAGAGGAAGGCUGCUUCCCAAGAGAAGAAAAGUCCCUUUGUUCUGCCCCAGAAAAUCCUAAAUAGAGUGUUAAUGGUUUGUUUCACA
Equus caballus (horse) is the source of this 1313-nucleotide non-coding RNA. The record is from RefSeq and is a predicted model, not a curated record. Lineage: Eukaryota; Metazoa; Chordata; Mammalia; Perissodactyla; Equidae.